GACGAACGCUGGCGGCGUGCUUAACACAUGCAAGUCGAACGGAAAGGCCCUGCUUUUGUGGGGUGCUCGAGUGGCGAACGGGUGAGUAACACGUGAGUAACCUGCCCUUGACUUUGGGAUAACUUCAGGAAACUGGGGCUAAUACCGGAUAGGAGCUCCUGCUGCAUGGUGGGGGUUGGAGAGUUUCGGCGGUUGGGGAUGGACUCGCGGCUUAUCAGCUUGUUGGUGGGGUAGUGGCUUACCAAGGCUUUGACGGGUAGCCGGCCUGAGAGGGUGACCGGCCACAUUGGGACUGAGAUACGGCCCAGACUCCUACGGGAGGCAGCAGUGGGGAAUAUUGCACAAUGGGCGGAAGCCUGAUGCAGCAACGCCGCGUGCGGGAUGACGGCCUUCGGGUUGUAAACCGCUUUCGCCUGUGACGAGGCGUGAGUGACGGUAAUGGGUAAAGAAGCACCGGCUAACUACGUG
RNAcentral lists this ribosomal RNA (468 nucleotides) under uncultured bacterium. RNAcentral's name for it is "partial 16S ribosomal RNA". It matches the Rfam family "Bacterial small subunit ribosomal RNA", at positions 28 to 507 of the family's 1533-position model. The record is from RNAcentral.